Molecule: unclassified non-coding RNA, 887 nt
Filed under: Hevea brasiliensis (rubber tree)
Lineage: Eukaryota; Viridiplantae; Streptophyta; Magnoliopsida; Malpighiales; Euphorbiaceae
Source: RNAcentral
AGAUUCUUUAGGAUUAGCCAAUGAUGUGAUACCAAAUUUUGCUUUUGGUUGCAUCAAUUCCAUCUCUGGUGGGUCAAUCCCUCCUCAAGGGCUGUUGGGUUUGGGUCGUGGACCCUUAUCGUUAAUUUCGCAAACUGAAUCACUCUAUUCGGGUCUAUUUUCAUACUGUUUGCCUAGUUUCAAAUCAUAUUAUUUCUCAGGCUCGCUCAAACUCGGCCCGGCAGGUCAACCCAAAAACAUUAGAACCACCCCACUUUUGCGAAACCCACACCGGCCAUCACUAUACUAUGUGAACCUCACUGGAGUUAGUGUAGGCCAGAUUCGGGUACCAAUUGCCUCGGAGCUCCUAACUUUUGACCCGAACACUGGAGCAGGGACCAUAAUUGACUCUGGCACAGUAAUAACACGAUUCAUCGAACCGAUUUACACAGCAAUCAGAGAUGAGUUCAGAAAACAAGUACAAGGGCCAUUUUCAUCUAUUGGGGCAUUUGAUACGUGCUUUGCAGCAACAAAUGAAGCAGUAGCACCAGCAAUAACACUGCAUUUGACAGGCCUGAACUUGGUAUUGCCAAUGGAGAACAGCUUGAUACACAGCAGUGCAGGUUCGCUAGCAUGCUUGGCUAUGGCUGCAGCUCCAAAUAAUGUGAACUCAGUGCUUAAUGUUAUAGCCAACUUGCAGCAACAGAACCUUAGGAUCUUGUUUGAUGCGCCCAAUUCUCGCUUAGGAAUCGCUCGUGAGCUGUGCAACUAGAUUUUUUUUUUUUUGGGCUCUUGAUUUGUAAUUUGUUGUUGUGUUUGCAAAGUUAUAUGUUUCUAUGUAAUAUAGGUGGUGGAUUUAAUAAAUAGGAAAAGUCCUGUGUUUAUGUUGUCUUGCUAUAGAGAGUAUU